UUCUCAGUUCUUAACCUACCUGGCCUCCCUCGUCUGCAUGCUCUGAACGGGCAGGAGGGUAAGAGAGAGAAAGCAAAACAGAGCUUAUAGCCAUGGAUUCCACACUUACUCCUCCCUCUUUCCUCCUUCCCUUCAUAGCCGCCUUCCUUCUCCUCUCAAUCACGCCGGCAUUAUCAUCACUUCCCACUCUCCCUACAACCUCCGGUGGACCGAUCAACUCCAACUCUGUCCUGGUAGCUCUCCUCGACUCCCAUUACACCGAGAUUGCGGAGUUGGUGGAGAAGGCUCUCCUUCUACAAACCCUAGAGGACGCCGUUGGUCGCCACAACCUCACUAUCUUCGCCCCUCGCAAUGAAGCCCUAGAACGCGAUCUCGACCCCGACUUCAGACGCUUUAUUUUUGAACCAGGCAACCUCAAGUCACUUCAAACCCUUCUUCUCUUCCACUUCCUUCCUUCCCGCAUUCCCUACGUUUCCUUCCCCUCCGCUCGCUACCGCACUCUCUCUGGAGACCAGAUUAUCCUUUCCUCCUCCAAAUCCGGCCUCCACCACGCUGAUCUUGCCGGCAUCGUACACCCCGACUCCAUCCUCCGCCCCGACGGCAUCAUCCACGGCAUCGAUCGCCUUCUCGUUCCCAGAUCUGUACAAGAGGACUUCAAUCGCCGGCGAAACCUUGCUGAAAUCUCCGCCAUUCUCCCCUCCGGCGCUCCAGAAGUCGACCCUCGAACCCACCGGCUUAAGAAACCUGCUCCUUCAUCCCCUGCAGGCUCCCCUCCCGCGCUUCCCAUUUACGAUGCCAUCGCUCCCGGUCCCGACAUUGCUCCAGCUCCAGCUCCCGGCCCCGGAUCCGGCAAGCACUGGUUCGACGGCCACCGCCAGAUCAAAGAUUUCAUCCAAACCCUAAUUCUCUACGGCGGGUACAAUGAAUUCGCCGACAUUCUAGUCAACCUCACCUCCCUCGCCACCGAGAUGGGCCGGUUGGUUUCCGAGGGCUAUGUCCUCACCGUUCUCGCACCAAACGAUGAAGCCAUGGCAAAACUCACUCCCGAUCAGCUCAGUGAACCCGGCUCGCCGGAGCAUAUUAUCAACUACCAUUUGAUCCCGGAGUAUCAAACAGAGGAGAGCAUGUAUAAUGCCGUUCGGCGCUUUGGGAAAGUGCGUUACGAUACGCUCAGGCUUCCGCACAAGAUUGUGGCAAGGGAAGCUGAUGGAUCGGUGAAGUUUGGACAGGGAGAGGGUUCCGCUUAUCUGUUUGAUCCGGAUAUAUACACAGACGGGAGGAUUUCGGUGCAAGGGAUCGAUACUGUGCUUUUCCCGCCGGAGGAUGACUCUCCGGCGCCGGCUUUCGGUGGCGGGAAGAAGGCUGCUCGUGUGUCCAGAAACGCAGUUUCCAAGCGCAACCGAGGAAAAUUGAUGGAGUUGGGCUGCCGCGUGCUCGGCGGCUUCAUCGAUGCGUCCCGCAUCUCCACCUGUGAAUAGAGAGCACAGAGAUGGCAGAAAAGCAAAUAUACGCAGAAGGUCCGAUCUGCGUAUGUGGAAAUAUGGUUUUUGGUUCAUUGGCAAGUCGUCGCCCCACGCCUCCGCCUCCUGCCAUCCUCCCGUUGUCGGCCGCACUCCACACCUGUAGCUGUCAACUGGAUGCUACGCCGCCACCAACCUAGUGCUGUCUGCCACCUGCAAGCUGCCCGUUGCCGCCAAACAAAAAAAUAUAUUUUUUGAAAAACCAAGAAAAAAAAUUAUAAAGACUUGCCUUUAUUUUGUAAUGAACAA
Molecule: RNA transcript, 1769 nt
Organism: Phalaenopsis equestris
Lineage: Eukaryota; Viridiplantae; Streptophyta; Magnoliopsida; Asparagales; Orchidaceae
Gene name: fasciclin-like arabinogalactan protein 16
Exons: 3
Source: RefSeq, a predicted model, not a curated record